CUCUGCGCCCGUCACUCUGCGCCCGUCACUGUGCCCUUCACUCUGUGCCUGUCACUCUGCGCCCGUCACUGUGCCCUUCACUCUGUGCCUGUCACUCUGCGCCCGUCACUCUGCGCCCGUCACUGUGCCCUUCACUGUGCCCUUCACUCUGCGCCCGUCACUGUGCCCGUCACUCUGCACCCAUCACUGUGCCCGUCACUCUGCGCCCAUCACUGUGCCCUUCACUCUGUGCCCAUCACUGUGCCCGUCACUCUGCGCCUGUCACUGUGCCCUUCACUGUGCCCUUCACUCUGUGCCCGUCACUCUGCGCCCAUCACUGUGCCCUUCACUCUGUCCUUCACUCUGUGCCCGUCACUCUGCGCCCAUCACUGUGCCCUUCACUCUGUCCUUCACUCUGCGCCCGUCACUCUGCACCCGUCACUGUGCCCUUCACUCUACACCCGUCACUGUGCCCUUCACUCCGCGCCCGUCACUCUGCGCCCAUCACUCUGUGCCCGUCCCCCGUGCACCCUUCAGUGCUGUGUGUUACUGUGGCAGCAGCGGCCACAUGGGGCCACAUGGGGCCACACGUUCUCAGCAGGGCGGUCACACGUGAACAGCUCGUGUUUGUCUCUGAGCCCUGGAGACACGUUUGCCAGCCGUCGAAACUCCAGUCACCCGCCACUGCCAGGGCUCGAGGGCGGGGGGAGGAGGAGACAGGAGAGGGGAGAACGCCGUCACGCCCCGCCAGGCUCCCCAGCUCAGAGCAGCCCCAGAGCCGUCGGGGGAUGCACCGUGGGGACGGAAGCACGGCGGGGACCCCUCUGUGGGACCGGCCCAGGUCUCACGAGGACCCAGGGAAGCGCCCCUCAACAGGACACAGUGGGCAAUGGCGUGGGCAGGAUGGGGUCGGGGCAGGCGCUCCUUGGCGUUCUGACGGUGGCUCCACACAGGCCCGCCACAAUGCCCCACAGCAAACUUGUGCAGAAGAAAAUCUCGCAGUGCCACCGUCCCACUGCCGGGCGCUAAAUUAGUUCCCAGCUUCCCACGACACCCGGCAGCAGUGGGAGUGCCAGGGCAGGUUGUCGCACAUUCCUUCUGGACUGUUCUGUGUUUUCCGCAGGAGAAUGCUCUAUCGCACUUGGUGCCAUUAAUGUGCACCUAACAACCUGGCACUCAUCACAACCCUUUGUAGACAAAUUGCUGUUUAAACUGGAAAUAAUGUAAUACAUACACCCCAUUUUUCACCCAGCACUAGUUAGCAUAAAAUAAUUUGUUUUACCCAUAAUACAGUACCCUUCUCAACGAACAAAUUGUCUUUAAUUUUUAAAGGGAUAUUUAUCAACCAUACAUUAAAUAUAACGAUGAAUGAAGCAAUACAAAGCCUGUGCCCGACGCCCAGUUUAGGAAAAGUGGGUGAUCACCCCGGCGUCCACCCCCCUCCGCUUCGCAGGCUGCCGUCUCUGGGCCUCGUGUGCGCCUGGGCUGGGCCUUCCCCAUGGCUCUGCCCCACACCUUCCCAUCCCCAGUCGCGCCCGGCAUGCCUUUGAAUUCAACGCCAUGGCCAUUGUCUCCCGCACACAGGCCUCAGAGCCCCACUCCUUCUCCUGACGUUUGAGUUCCUGAGAUUCCACCCAAGUGGCUGUGAGCUCUGUGGUCAUUCUCGCUGCCAGGCUGUGUCUGUUCUAUGAAAUCACAGUUCCACUCUGCUGGUGGGGGCAGCAGUGGCUUCUGGACUCUCGUUCUUUCUUUCUUCUUUAUUUUUGAGGCAGAGUCUUACUCUGUCGCCCAGGCUGGAGUGCAGUGGCGCAAUCUCGGCUCACUGCAAGCUCCGCCUCCCGGUUCAAGCUAUUGUCCUGCCUCACCCUCCCAAGUAGCUGGGAUUACAGGCGCGUGUCACCACACCCGGCUAAUUUUUGUGUUUUCAGUAGAGACAGGGUUUCACCUUUUUGGCCAGGCUGGUCUCGCGUGAUCCGCCCGCCUAGGCCUGGGACUCCUGUUCUUGUUUGGUGCAGCUGCUGCUGGCUGCCUCCUUCUGGUUUCCAGCUGUGCCUGAACCAGCUCGCCCCACUUCAGUGGUGGCAAAGUGCCCUUCCUGGGGGCGGGCAGCCCAGGACCCACAACUGGGCCCCCAUAGGCUUCAGCAGCUCUGUGUGAGCAGCCCUGGCCCCUGGCCCUAUGCUGGAGGCAGCGUCCUCCCCAUUCCGACGUCACAGAGGAAACAAAUGUAAACCGCCCAGCAGCGGCCCCCGAGUAACUCAGCCUGAGCGGAACCCGAGGGUUCUCUGUGGGAUUUAAGUGGCACCGUUUCUGUCAGACAGAAAAUAAACAAAAUUUAUGGUGUUUGGAAAGCAUCAGAGUUGAACGAGAUCAUGGCACCCGGAGCCGCUUGAGAGCCGCAGUGAUUGAGGGCUGGGCAGAGGCGACGCGGCUGGGGACAGGCCAGGAAUGUCGGCCGUCGCCCCAUUCAGGGAGCACAGGGCGCCCUUCCCAGGGCCUUGGGGCUCGGAGGAAAUUCAACCCUGUCAAGCUCUGAGGCCUUCGGCGCAUUUAGCUGUUGAAGGAAGACCCACCGUGGUGGGCUCCAACGAGCAUUUUCACAUUCACAGUGAGGCCAGCCCGUUCCCGCUCCCACCAACCCAUUGCAGGCCAGAGAAAAGCCAGACGCCUGCUCCACGUCCCUCUCACACUUCUCCGCUCUUCACAACAGGCAGCCUGGCCAGCCCCUUCUCACCUCCCUGGGCACUGUGGCUGCAACCCCAGGCCUGGCAAGGUCACGGUGACCUCCACACCGGCCCAUGCAAUUCCAGGCUUCCCAUCACCCCUGAGAAGGUCAAAGGCCCGGGUUGCUCAGCCAGGCUGCUCCCUCCACCAUCCCCUCUCAGUUUCCUUUGGCUCACUCCCCUGCGGCCCAGCCCCUGCCUCUGUGGCCCGUGCUCUAGGCCUGCUCCUGCCCCAGGGCCUUUGCGCUCCCCACCCCCACCUGGAUACCUGGAUGGCCACAUGGGCCCUCACCCUUCAAGAGGCUCACCCCGUGCUCAACGUAAAAUCACACCAGGGCCCCAGCCUCCAGCGUGCUGCUCUGCCUGUCCCGCCCCCACCCCCGGCUUGCUCUUUGCAUCCCUGCCCUGCUCUCCUGCCAGCCAGGGCUCCUGGAGCAGGGGUUCUGCCUGCGGGUUUGCUGUUUCACCGCCUCAUCCCGGCACCCAGAACUGUAGACGCACACGGGGCUCCAUGUGUGGCCUUUACGGAGCUUGAAUUCAUCGCUCACGGCAGAGGGGAAGGCAGGUGAUGAGCAGGCAGCAUCCAAAGCCUCAAAGCUGUCAGUGAGUCUCCAAAUGGUUUUGUUUGAACAUAACAUUAAAAGUCUACGUUGUGGCUUGGGCUGAAUUAGAAGGUACAGCACCACACACACACAUGCACACGUGAACAUAUGCCACACACAAGAACAUAGCCUCCACACACGCACACAUGGGCAGACACAUCUGUGAACACACCACAGACACACAUGUGCACACAAGAUACACCGCACACACACGCACCCUCCCCCGUGGGCUCCUGGCAGCAGGGGCUGUUCCCACCACUCAGGUGCUUGCCCCACCUGGGGAACUGUCCAGUUGUCACCAACUCACUUCUAAGCCAUCCAUCAGGGCUUCCCAGCCUUAACCCCAGACUGCAGGCUCCGCCUCUCCCUAUCCAGCCUGGCGUGCAGGGUGUGAUGUGUAAAGGUUCAGCCCCUCCCUGUCCCUUCUUUCCCCACAUCUAGGCUGUCCUCGCCAGGCCAUGGACUUCUGCUGUUGCCCUGCUCGGCUCCUUUCCUCCUCCUCCUCCUCCCCGUAAAACGUGGGGCUCACCCUGGCGGGAACUCCCCAAGUAGCGGGGUGGAGUUCCAGCCUGGAUGAAGCGGAGGACACAGAACCAGGUCUGAGCCAAUCAGCAUGGCAGUAGGCUCAGAGAGAGAUGCACGGCCCAGUCAGAGCCAGGAGAGGGUGGCUGGGCUCCGGGAGACAAGACGUGAGGCUGGAGCGGCUGCAGCCUCUUGCAGACAGUGGAGGCUCAGGCUAAGCCCGCAAGGCCAAGAGGAGCGUGGAGAGCUGGCAAGACGCUGGCCCGAUGACAUUGCCUGAGCCAUGAAUCCUACUGGCCAACGCCAGGACUUCCUCAGGCCUCGUCAUUGCAGGGACACUUCCCUCCCUUCCUCCGUCUCUCUCCCCACCGCCUCUCUGUCUAGCUUGAGCCAAUUUGAGAUGGAUUUUCUGUCACUUGCUGUUGAAGGAGUCCUGCUCCAGCACAGGUGGAUUUCGUGCAAAUGAAACCCACAGUAUUCAGGUCUGUGUGGAAGCGCUUGCCUGUGAUCGGCACGUGCCCUUCGCCUUGUGAACAGGAGCCGUGGGUGAUACGAGCGCCUCGGCUGGGCUGCCAGUGUCCAUCUGAGGUCCGUCUGUCUUCAGGUGUGUGCUGCGUCUGUGGGUGAGACGCUGUGUGUGCAUGUGCGUGUGCCCAGGUGUGUGUGUGGGAGAGGGGGGAGCUGGAUCCCAGGCCUGAGAAGGCUCUUCCUGCUUAGAGAGUCCAGGGCUGCCUGGCAUCGAGCAGGCUCUGCCCCACAGGUCCCAGGGAAUCCACACUGCAGCAGGAAGCCACAGGGCGGGAACCUCAGCUUUCUGGUUUGGCUUCCAUGAACCAAGGACAAGACUGGCUUGAAGUUGUGCCCAUAGAGGCCCACAGAGCUACUUCAAAGGCAAAGACCGCCCAGUGGGAGUGGGUCCCCCUUGAGCUCACCCGAGGGUCCCACUCCCCCUGAGACAUUUCCUUCCCAGGGCACAGACCCCAGGCCUGGACGGAGCCAGGCAUGCGUGAAACGGGAAGAUGUCAGUUGGGGAACCGGCUGCAGCUCCCACCCUUUGAUGAGAAACAAAACCUGGUAGCUGCCCCUCGGAAAAGCCACAUGGCUCGCCGCACGUCUCCACAAUGGUGCCUGGCUUCUCCCAUCCUCAAUGUCCACGUUCCCCACUUCUCAUCACAGACCCGAAACGCAGGAGGCUUUAGACAGAGCACCUUCGUCAGGAAGCCGGACUGGGCUGAGGUACCUGCUCCCAGCUCCUCAAAGCCUGCAAUAGCACACCCACCCAUGUGGGACAAGAUGCAGCUUCGUGGCUGCCUGCAGGGGAUGGAAGACUCCCACAGACGCCUGCUAACAUCACAUGCCCGUGUGUCACCGCGAUGCCACGUCCAGUCUGAGCCAUUCCUCGCCCAUGUCCCUGUCCUUGUUGCAUAGCCGGCCUCCAGCGUGUGGCUUCAUGUAGUGACCGGACUGUCGUGUGACUUUCUGCCACGGUUGCCAGGGUUGGCACUGAGGCAGACCUGCUGGGGGAUUCUGGGUUGCAGCUGGAGUGCUGGCACUGGCUGGACGCCUCUCUUCGUGCUGCCCAGGGUCCGUCCACGUCGACUCCCCGUGUGAGGCGUGUGGGCUGCCUCACAGCCCGGCGGUUCCAGGACUGCUAAGGACUCCCCUGCAGCCCCGGCUCUGCUACCAGCACUGGGCUAGAAGCAACUCACCUUCCCACAGCCGCCCUGAAGGCACGUAGCAUCACCCUGGAUGUCCUGUCUUGAUGGGUGCAGAAUCCCACGGGUUUCAAGGGCAGGAACGAGGUUCUGGAAGGCGUGUUUCCAUCCAUCCUUGGAAAAUACCAUCUGCCACAAUGGGCUCUGUGAAGAAGUGAGAUUCUGGGAAAACGCACACCGUAUAACAGGAGCCAGUGCACGGCGGCCCAGGGGCCAAGUCCUGCCACCAUCUGUUGCCAUGGAUGCAGGGGCCCGGCUCCCAGCCAUGCCCGCUCACAUGGGACUGACCAUGGCCACCCUUCUGCCACAACAACAGGGUUGGGGAAACUGAUAACUAUCCCUCAACAGCUAUCCCCACGGAGACUGUGGGGCCCAGAAGCCUCAAAUGUCGACAUCUGGCCCUUUCUAGACAAAGUGUGCUGAGUCCCAGGACGUCAGCCAUGAGGGAGUCGCUGCCCAGGCAUGAGGCAGCCUGGCGAGGGAGUCGCUGAGCAGGUGUGACUGCAGCCUGGCGCCUGAGCUGCAGCCGGGACUCCGGCUGGGGAGACACUUCUCCAGGGGCUGGGGAGCCCCUGCCCCGAGCAUGGCUCUGAGCCUCUCUUCUGAAGCUGAGGCCCUGCCUCUCAGUCAGCAUCCAACAGUGGCAGUCACAGAAAUCCAGGUCAGCCUGGGGAGGCAGACAUGCUUUGGUUCACACAAUGGCAGGGCCUAGGGAGGAGCUUCAGGUUCUGCUGGACUCAGGGCCUGGGAUGUGCACUCAGGGGAGCCCCUCACACGAGGCCUCACUCACACCCAGAUUCCCUGCACAUCCCAGCCGAGGCUUCACUCACACCCAGGCUUCCUGAGCGUCCCGGCCAAGGCGGUCCUCAGAGGCCCUAGCUCUGUGGUCUGCACAUCUGUGUCCCUCCCACGGUCACAUGUUGAAGCUGUGACCCUCUAACCAGUGACACUAUCAGGAGGCGGGACCUUUGGGAGUGACAAGGUUGUGGGGUGGAGCCUCGUGAUCGGGAAAUGGGAUUCAUGCCAUAUUCAAGGGAGUCCCGAGCUGCCUCGCCCAUUUCACCCCAGGAGGAUACAAGGGGACAGCUGCCGACAACCUGACAGAGACCCUGUGCCAGGCCCCACCCCACCGGCACCCUGACCUUGGACUUCUGGCCUCGAGAACGCUUGAACACGGCGUCACACUCCUCCUACCACAGCGUAAGCACCGCGUGACGCUCUUCCUACCACAGCAUGGGUGCCGCCUCACAAGACCCUGUUUAAACCUCCUUCCUACCACAGCGGGGACGCCGUGUCGUGCUCUCUGGGUGCGUCUCAAGGUGUGGAUAAUCCAGACUUCUGAGUUUAAAAAAAUACCAAAAAUAAAAUAAUUAGGCAUCCAACAUACAAGUUAUUUGAGGACUUAAAAAUAGCACAGCAGGCUGGAACACGAGGCCUCUAACCCGAUGGUGCCAUCUACACCCACAGCCCCCGCCCGGGAGGGUCUGAGCCAGGCAGCCUCCCCGGGAGCCGGUGCUGACACAGCCAGAGAAACCAUGCCAGACCCGGGCCCCGCUGUCCCCAACACCUGCAGGCCAGUGACUCAGGGCGGUGGAGAAAGCCCAGAGGAAGUGGAGGCGGAGCUGCCCUCCCUGGGGCCGGGCCCGCCAUCUGGACGUGUCUCCAGCCGCUGGUUUAGGGGAAUCGGGAGGGCUCACUUGAGCGUCCCUUCUCUGCUCGCUCUUCCAACCCGGGACAGAAGACCUGACUGCUGCCCACACCAAAGGGUGUUCCCAGGGCACACGCCGCUCGGGCCCGGGCAGGCAGGGCCGCUCCUCGUGCUUGGGGAGCCUGGAGCUGUCGGCCCUGCAGCUGAGGCCACGGGAGGCCAGGGACAUGCAAGCUCGGUGCCCGAAGUCACUUCUAGAGCGGGUUCGGUGUCCCUGAAGGUCCAACUCUGCCCCUAGGCACCACAGAAAAUGCCACUAGCCCCUGGUGUGGACGCUGGGCCCCCGGGGAGGCCUCUACCCCGUCACCCAGCCCGUCCCAACAGGACUCAGCCUCCAGUGGCUGCCAUCAGACCAGGGCACGGUGACUGUCACCGCAGAGGGCCGCGUGUGGGACGGCAGGGGCCGCGGGGUCUCUGUGCUCCCCAGUAACCCCGGUUUCCGCCGGGGCGGCCCCGCUCCCCAGCCCCCUCCAAUGCGGAUUUAGUCUCGUUUCCCACAGGGAACGUGUAACAAGGCUUGACCAAUCAGUGAACGCCAUUCCCCAGGCUGUUGGCUGUGAUUGGGUCCCAGACAAGCACGUGACCCACUAUGGGCCAAUGAAAGUCGCCCGAGACUGUCGCUUGCAUGGUUGCUGGGACGGUCCAGAGUCCUCAGUGGGGACGGUGGCUGCAGCUGCCACACCUGGAGCCUGAGGAUGGCGCGGGCCAGUUCCUCCCUGGGAUCUCCCCUCCCUGAGCCCAGGCUCUGCUCAGCUCAGCCCCAUGCUGUCCCCUGUGCGACCGCUGUGGGCUUCCUGCCAGGCUCCUCCGCCCUCGGGCUUCUGUUGGGUUCAGUCUUGGGAGGCAGCCCCAGAGCCUGAAGGGUGGAAGGAAUGAGGGGCAUCCCAGAUCCCCUCCCCACCGUCUUGGCAGUGGUUUCUUCUCUCCAGAGUUACUGUCCCUACCCCCUGUCCUCUCUCUGCAGCUCCAACUCUUGGCUGGGCACCUGUGAUUCUCGCCCCUGUCCCUUCAGGCCGUGGAGAGAAGAACAUUCCAGUGCGGUCACUUCCUGGAUCAAAUUCCUGGAUGCCCAGUGUCCACCGGGUGUCCUGGAUUCACCGUGGUCACUGCCUGGAUGCCCAGUGUCUGCCGGGUCUCCUGGAUCCACUUCCUGGAUGCCCAGUGUCCGCCGAAUCUCCUGGAUUCACCGUGGUCACUGCCUGCAUGCCCAGUGUCCACCGGGUCUCCUGGAUUCUGCCCAUGUCCACGUGAGGGCACCAUCAAUUUCCUGCGAGGAUCCUAAGGGAGUCAAGGUACAUCUAACCCGAGAGCAGUCAGGGGUGGACUAUCCCCUAGAUCAAGCCAUACCUGAAGCCCCACCUUUCAGUUGCCUGAGUCAACAGAGUCCCUUUUUGGGUUGAGCCAUUUUUAAUUGGAUUUUAUGUCUUAUUGACUGACCCAUCCGGAUGGCCAGCAGUAAGGGGUUUCUUUUUGGAGGAUGAGGGACACCAAUGUGUCUUCUCAUUGAGGAGAUGCCUGAAGGACAGGAGGCACUCACAGGAGGCCCUGGAGACAGAUGUGCCCCACAGGCAUCCCAAGGACACCUGCGGCCUGGCAGCAUGGAGACUCUGGGUGAAAACAGAACCUUGUGAGCUGCCCUGUCUGUGUCUGUGAAGCAAAGUGUCUGGAAGGGGUCUGCGUGGAAGCUUCCGAGAGCGGUUAGGGGAAGGGGGCCCACGUCCUCCCCAAAGGGCUGGAGAGGGAGGCAGGCUGUGCCCCCAGCCCAGAGUCGGGAGGAGGCCGGCAGGCAGCAGCUGUGGAAAGGAGGCGGAGCCCCCCAACUCCUGAGCCAGCAGAGGAAGGAGUGGGACAGAGCACGCCCCAGAGGGAGACGAGACCCCGGGGAAGAGACCCCUCAGGGCGGCCCCCCAGCCCCUCCUGGGCUCAGCUUUCAGCCUGCACCCCCGUCUGGUCCCUCAGAAUGACUGGGGUUUCCACUCUUUCUGUAAAAUCUCUAGACUCCAUGUCCCCGCUCUGCCACCACCUACUCUCUGUGGGAUCUCAAUAAGGAGAUUUAACCUUUCUUGCCUCAGUUUCCCCAUGUAUAAAAUGGGACAAUAACAGGCUCUGCCUCUAAGCUCGCUGCAGGAAUUAAGGGAACAGUGCAUGGUCUGCAGCCAGCCCCUUGCAGCCAGCAGUUCUUCAAUGACCCCAGGGAAAGGCCGGGCACCGUGGAGAUGCUUCCCAGCCAUACUCGCUGAGCCGCGCUGGGUUCGGGUCUCUCCACCCAAGCUCCUUUUUGGAAAAUGGUCCCUGGGAAGAUGGAUAAGACCCGGCGUCCACCGGGGUCUGCUUUCUAAGUGGUACGCUGUGAGGGCCGUUGCAGGUGAAUAAUUCCCUGUGAUCUAUUCUGCAGGCACUGGGGAAGCUCCAGGUUGGGUGCGGAGCUGGAGAGACCGUGGGCAGGGCCUGCGAGGGGCAGGCGAGGGGCCAGGAGGCCUUCGCGUUCGAGCUUCUCGGCCACAAGUGCAGGGGCGGGCUGGGCAUGGGGUGUGUGUUUCACUGGUGUCAAAGCCUCCUCACUUUUUUGGGGAAAGAAAUGGGAUAUAAAUACAUGUGUAAAUAUCUAUAUAAAAUUCACAUUCUCUAAUUCAGGAGGCAGAUAGCUGUGUGCCUUCAAACCAGAAUAUCUGUAAACUGGGUUUCUAUCAGUGAGGGUACAGAGCAAAUGCCAGUUCUUUCAAGGUUCACUCCGAUGUCGUCUUCUGUGACAUAAGAACGAAGCUGGGACUGGCCACUCCUGCCAGACUUUAUCUUGGCAGACGGGGUUUCCUGCCGCACAACAGCUGCCUAAAGGCUCAUAGCCAAGAACGGUGCUCGCUCCAGCAGUGAGGCUAGCCCUGACAGCAGAGUUCACCCCCAAAUUUAGGACACACAGGAGCCUUCAAACCCCCCCCACACACACCCACAUGUGCACACAUGUACACACGCACAUACAUGCCUGCACACGUGCACACACGCACACGCGUGCACACACACACGUGCGCACACACAUGCACACGCACACACCGUGCACACUCAGUGCACAGGUCAGCCGACGUGCACCAGCCACUUUCCAAACCGAAGUCAUUCCAGCCCCAAGUCUGUAGCUGGCACCACAUGAAAACACCACUGUGUUCUUACUUAUGGAGCAUGUUUCUUUAAAUUGGCCUAUUUUAAAACUAAAUGCAUUUUUUAUUUGAAAAGGAAUCUUCAUUUCACCGCUGCAAAUGGAAAGCUGGCAUCGCUUGUGUUAAAUCAUGGUAACCAUGAAAAUAAGUGGAAUGAAAAUAAAAUAAUGUCGCACUCUGGAUGUGGUUCAGGUGCGGAAGCCUCCG
Non-coding RNA from Macaca mulatta (Rhesus monkey), 10605 nucleotides. Lineage: Eukaryota; Metazoa; Chordata; Mammalia; Primates; Cercopithecidae. The record is from RefSeq and is a predicted model, not a curated record.